AUCCCAAAUAAGCUGAGCUGAAAGUAGCGGUGCUUGUUUGAUUCAUGGGAGGCCAAAAUCAAAGUCUGGGGGUUUCGCUGAUAACGCCUUUUUAUCUCUUAUGGAAGGCGUUUAUUAGUAACUUCGCCAUACAUUC
RNAcentral lists this small nucleolar RNA (136 nucleotides) under Corchorus olitorius. Lineage: Eukaryota; Viridiplantae; Streptophyta; Magnoliopsida; Malvales; Malvaceae. The record is from RNAcentral.